UGAAAUGGGCCACGAACGAAUGCUCGAGCUGCCCGAAGGAAUGGAUACUUUCCGAUCGGAGACCGGAGUACCAGGCCCUGGCAGCCUUGCGGAGUGUGGCGGGGAAGCCGAUGCAAAAAAGAGCGUCGGUUGCCCCUUGAAUCAUCAUGAGAGCUUUAUAGCUCUCGAGGUGGUCGACUGGGUCGGUGGAGCCGUCGUAAGGCUCCACGUGCGGCAUCUUGAACCGACU
Molecule: long non-coding RNA, 229 nt
Filed under: Elaeis guineensis (African oil palm)
Lineage: Eukaryota; Viridiplantae; Streptophyta; Magnoliopsida; Arecales; Arecaceae
Description: long non-coding RNA (EGUI_LNC080432)
Source: RNAcentral